Molecule: ribosomal RNA, 253 nt
Filed under: uncultured bacterium
Lineage: Bacteria
Description: partial 16S ribosomal RNA
Rfam family: Bacterial small subunit ribosomal RNA
Source: RNAcentral
UACAGAGGGUGCGAGCGUUAAUCGGAAUUACUGGGCGUAAAGCGCGCGUAGGCGGCUUUGCAAGUCGGGUGUGAAAUCCCCAGGCUUAACCUGGGAACUGCAUUCGAGACUGCAUUGCUAGAGUAUGGGAGAGGGAAGUGGAAUUUCCGGUGUAGCGGUGAAAUGCGUAGAUAUCAGGAAGAACACCUAUGGCGAAGGCAGCACUCUGGGACGGUACUGACGCUGAGACGCGAAAGCGUGGGGAGCGAACAGG